Molecule: ribosomal RNA, 433 nt
Filed under: uncultured bacterium
Lineage: Bacteria
Description: partial 16S ribosomal RNA
Rfam family: Bacterial small subunit ribosomal RNA
Source: RNAcentral
AACGAACGCUGGCGGCAUGCCUAACACAUGCCAGUCGAACGAGACCUUCGGGUCUAGUGGCGCACGGGUGCGUAACGCGUGGGAACCUGCCCUUAGGUUCGGAAUAACUCCCCGAAAGGGGUGCUAAUACCGGAUAAUGUCUUCGGACCAAAGAUUUAUCGCCUUUGGAUGGGCCCGCGUUGGAUUAGCUAGUUGGUAGGGUAAAAGCCUACCAAGGCGACGAUCCAUAGCUGGUCUGAGAGGAUGAUCAGCCACACUGGGACUGAUACACGGCCCAGACUCCUACGGGAGGCAGCAGUGGGGAAUAUUGGACAAUGGGCGAAAGCCUGAUCCAGCAAUGCCGCGUGAGUGAUGAAGGCCUUAGGGUUGUAAAGCUCUUUUACCCGGGAUGAUAAUGACAGUACCGGGAGAAUAAGCUCCGGCUAACUCCGUG